RNAcentral lists this ribosomal RNA (301 nucleotides) under uncultured bacterium. RNAcentral describes it as "partial 16S ribosomal RNA". It matches the Rfam family "Bacterial small subunit ribosomal RNA", at positions 509 to 807 of the family's 1533-position model. The record is from RNAcentral.
CAGCCGCCGCGGUAAUACGUAGGUGGCAAGCGUUGUCCGGAAUUAUUGGGCGUAAAGGGCUCGCAGGCGGUUUCUUAAGUCUGAUGUGAAAGCCCCCGGCUCAACCGGGGAGGGUCAUUGGAGACUGGGAAACUUGAGUGCAGAAGAGGAGAGUGGAAUUCCACGUGUAGCGGUGAAAUGCGUAGAGAUGUGGAGGAACACCAGUGGCGAAGGCGACUCUCUGGUCUGUAACUGACGCUGAGGAGCGAAAGCGUGGGGAACGAACAGGAUUAGAUACCCGGGUAGUCCCUGUCUCUUAUAC